RNAcentral lists this unclassified non-coding RNA (401 nucleotides) under Hevea brasiliensis (rubber tree). The record is from RNAcentral. Lineage: Eukaryota; Viridiplantae; Streptophyta; Magnoliopsida; Malpighiales; Euphorbiaceae.
GGCUGCCUGUGAAAAGGUAAAACACAUGAGACACGUGGACUGAAGUAAAGAAGUAAAGAGAUCAACUUCAACAAACAAUAAUAAAGCGAAAUUGCAUUGAUUUAGAGACUAGAAAGAAUGAACUGCCCCCACCAGCACUGGAUACGAGCACAGGAUUCCCAGUUGAAGACCCAAACAAAACAUUUAUCCAUUUCUAAAUAUGAAUAGCAUAUGAUUACUUAUCAUUCACUGGCAAUGGCUAAAAAAUUAUGCCAUUCAACAACCAUUCGCAUUAGGCUCAAACAGAACUUCAAUGUUUUCCCUUGUUGAGUAAUCUCAAGCUCAAGGUGAUCAUCGACUUAACAAUAUCCGAUUUUAGAACAAGGCUGAAAGCAGUAUAAAGGGGCCCAAAUAGAAAGAGG